This 61-nucleotide small nuclear RNA is filed under the name Bos indicus x Bos taurus (hybrid cattle). Lineage: Eukaryota; Metazoa; Chordata; Mammalia; Artiodactyla; Bovidae. The record is from RNAcentral.
GUGCUCGCUUCAGCAGCACAUAUACUAAAACUGGAACAAUACAGAGAAGAUUAGCAUGGAC